UUUUAGAAUUAAUAUAUUUAAAUAUAUAAAAUGGUUUGAUACAGAAAAAAAAAUGUUGCAAUAGAUAGAAAAUAAAUAAAUAAAAUCCAGAUUUAGCGGACCAUGUUAUUGGUACCAAAAGUAAAAUAAAAAGUUUUAAAUAAAAACAAAGCAAAAUGAGUUAUUGACAUUUUUCACUACAAAUCAAUCAUCUAGAGACACCUUUCAGGUGAAAUUGUCAAAUACAAAGAUAAAAGAAAUAGUCUGUUUCCUUUGUUCUUCUUUCCUGUGUGGCACGAAGAACUCAGGUGGUUAUGUGCUCUUCAUAAUGUAUCCCAGAAUUAGACCGAUUAGUCCGACCAGAAGAACGUACAUCAAAGGCAUACCACUUUGGCCUCUCUUACUGUCACGUCUCAACUGGUCCUGCAGAUCAACCAAAUCUUUGUCAGAAAACAAACUCAACAUCUAAAUCAAAGCCUGUAAAUUUUAAGACUUGCUUUUAAUUUAUGCCAAGGUUAGAUAAAUCAACCACUUUCAUCCUAAAUCCCAAGUAACUCAUGCCUUUCUUGAAUAUCAAAUUAGAGAGAAAGUUAAAAAAAAAAAAAAAAAAACUCAAAACCAGCAGGCCCCUUCUUCGCAACACCAUGAAAAAACACUGAAAAUGCUAAUAAUCAAAGUAGUCACCUUAUCGUUCUGAGAUAUAUAAAAAAAAAACCGUCACAUGUACCAUCUCUAGUGUCAUAAACUAUGACGUCCUUACCACCCAUCACAUAUAUUUUUCUGCCUAGUGCCGGGGUUACCACAGAGUUAUUUUUACUAUCCACUUGCAUGCUAGGGUUUGGCGCGAGUUGCCAAGUUUGGGUGUUUAGGUCAAACGCUUGCGCUUUGAUAUCCUGGUAGCAACUUUGUGGACAAGUUCCUCCAAAAAUGUAAAUCUUGUCGUUAACUAGUCCCACGGCUGCUCCAUGUCUGAACACAGGCGACUUUGGACCCUGACGCAACUUUCCAGACCGAGUGUCCAGGAUCCACAUGUUUUCGAGCCGCCCACAAUGUAGAUAUCGGUACCUACCAUAACAGGAGUUGUAGAGUAAGAUUUGAGCAGAAAAGAAGGGAACCGGAUCGAGGCCAAAUGAUGAUGACUCUCGGUGAAAGUGAACCAAUGAUACGACGAAGGAUACUUUUCUCUAAAGCCGACGUAGAAGCGAUUCUCUUUUCCCCGGAGAGAUCGCGUUAUCUGAAGCUCAGAGGAACGUACUAGAGAUUGUAACUUCUUCGACACGCAAGAGAGAAUUGGGUGAUACCGUCUCGGAACACGUGCUAUGACGUUUAAGAUGAUAUCGUCUGGCAGUGACGAAAACGACCAUGACGGUGCCUCCUUGGCCGUGGUAGACAUCCUCUUACUAAACUUGUUUCUCUUUAAAUCACAUCUCAUCAUCAUUCGCUCUCUUGCUUUCUUAUCAUCAACACCAAUACAAGCUUUCUUUAUGUAAAGAAAUCCUUUCUCCUUUUCCCACUUGGAAUCCUUUUAUUAUUACUAUAUAUUUCCUAUUUUUUUAUUCAAAAUUCUGAUUUGGUUUAAAUUGUAUAAUAUUUUUAGAAUUAAUAUAUUUAAAUAUAUAAAAUGGUUUGAUACAGAAAAAAAAAUGUUGCAAUAGAUAGAAAAUAAAUAAAUAAAAUCCAGAUUUAGCGGACCAUGUUAUUGGUACCAAAAGUAAAAUAAAAAGUUUUAAAUAAAAACAAAGCAAAAUGAGUUAUUGACAUUUUUCACUACAAAUCAAUCAUCUAGAGACACCUUUCAGGUGAAAUUGUCAAAUACAAAGAUAAAAGAAAUAGUCUGUUUCCUUUGUUCUUCUUUCCUGUGUGGCACGAAGAACUCAGGUGGUUAUGUGCUCUUCAUAAUGUAUCCCAGAAUUAGACCGAUUAGUCCGACCAGAAGAACGUACAUCAAAGGCAUACCACUUUGGCCUCUCUUACUGUCACGUCUCAACUGGUCCUGCAGAUCAACCAAAUCUUUGUCAGAAAACAAACUCAACAUCUAAAUCAAAGCCUGUAAAUUUUAAGACUUGCUUUUAAUUUAUGCCAAGGUUAGAUAAAUCAACCACUUUCAUCCUAAAUCCCAAGUAACUCAUGCCUUUCUUGAAUAUCAAAUUAGAGAGAAAGUUAAAAAAAAAAAAAAAAAACUCAAAACCAGCAGGCCCCUUCUUCGCAACACCAUGAAAAAACACUGAAAAUGCUAAUAAUCAAAGUA
RNAcentral lists this long non-coding RNA (2227 nucleotides) under Brassica napus (rape). RNAcentral's name for it is "long non-coding RNA (BNAP_LNC002497)". Lineage: Eukaryota; Viridiplantae; Streptophyta; Magnoliopsida; Brassicales; Brassicaceae. The record is from RNAcentral.